AUACGUAGGGAGCGAGCGUUGUCCGGAAUUACUGGGCGUAAAGGGCGCGUAGGCGGCGCUUCAAGUCGUCUGUCAAAUGGGAGGGCUUAACCCUUUUUCGCAGACGAAACUGGAGAGCUUGAGAAGCAGAGAGGCUAACAGAAUUCCUGGUGUAGCGGUGAAAUGCGUAGAUAUCAGGAAGAAUACCAGUGGCGAAGGCGGUUUGCUGGCUGCAUACUGACGCUGAAGCGCGAAAGCCAGGGGAGCAAACGGGAUUAGAUACCCCGGUAGUCCUGGCAGUAAACGAUGUAUGCUGGGUGUGAGACUAGCGAUAGUUUCGUGCCGAAGUUAACGCGAUAAGCAUACCGCCUGGGGAGUACGGUCGCAAGAUUGAAACUCAAAUGAAUUGACGGGG
Molecule: ribosomal RNA, 394 nt
Filed under: uncultured bacterium
Lineage: Bacteria
Description: partial 16S ribosomal RNA
Rfam family: Bacterial small subunit ribosomal RNA
Source: RNAcentral